CCCAGUGACAACACCCGGGUUUGCAGCUGCCAUUUUCCGGUGAGAAAGAGAAAUGUCCCUGUAUUUACCAGAAAAGGUAGCUCAUCCACCAUGGCAGAAGAGGAAGAUCCAGACUGUUGAUUGGGAAUCAAGAACAAACAAUGAGGCAUGAGGAUUGGGUGUUGAGGGACCACUUGUCACAUUGUCCAAGGAGUGCAUGGACAUUCUGUGCCAGUGUGAUCUGAGCGCAAGCGUCCAGUUGUGGAGACUACAGCUCAUCGAGCCUGUGGACGGACAGACAGUGCAUGAUCAACAAUUCAGCAAGGAGAUCUGCUGGAAGUGAUGUACUCUCUCUCUCUCACUUUGGGGGUACUGACAGGAAGAGUAAUAUGAGUCUGCCAGAGGUCGUCACGCUGGAUGGAGAAGAUGAUGGAGGCUUUGGUGGUCAAAACAACGUAGAAGCAGGUGUCCCUUCCAGUGAUGUGGAGUUGACCUUGGACCUGGUUCCAGUAAGAAUGGUCUUCACGGAGGCUGGACAUUUGACCUCCACCACUGCUGUGGUGCACACCAGACCAUCCUGUGAGGCACCCAUGAUCCCAGACCCCGUGACCUAAAGCCAUGACUCCUGCACAUCCAUCCCUGUAGCUAUUCUGAAUGCCUUGAUGCCCUCCUCUUUGUUAUCUGUGCCCCCACUUCGUAAAAUAUUUAAUAAACUUUAAUUUUCACAUGAGGACAUGUGCAGUUUUUCCAUGAACUUUUAAUUGCUAACUUGGGAUUUUAUCACUUGACAUAUCAUA
Coregonus clupeaformis (lake whitefish) is the source of this 776-nucleotide long non-coding RNA. RefSeq lists it as uncharacterized. The record is from RefSeq and is a predicted model, not a curated record. The transcript has 4 exons. NCBI's taxonomy places the organism in Eukaryota, Metazoa, Chordata, Actinopteri, Salmoniformes, Salmonidae.